GGAAAUGGGCUCUGGUUUUGCUGUCCCUGAGAGGAGGCAGCAUCUGGGGGGUGGUAUCCAGCAGGCAGACGCCGCUCUGCUGCUGUGGGGCUCUGGGAGCAAGCAGAGCAUUCCUAGGCACCAGUGGAGGGGAGAGACUGGAAGAUCUGGGGCUCCCUGCAGCCCCAGACUGUCCCACCAGAAUUCCACGCUGGAAGCCCCUCUUGCAUCACCAGGCCUGUGCACCCUUGCUCAGGACAAAGUGUUGGAGGGCAUCUCCUCCUGGAAAUGUUUGCAGGAGACACAGGAGUACAGGGGCUCCUGGCACCUGUGACCCUCUGCCCGGUGGCAGCGUGAGAACACCCUGAGGACCUCCCUGUGCCAGGACAUCUUUCUUUGCACACAGGGCCGUGCAGUGGUGGAAGACUGCUUCUGUCUCCACCUAAUGCCCCAUUGCUCGGGUGUCUCUGUGGAAGGGUCCUGGGGAGCUGCAAGGGGAGUAGAUGGGGCUCAGCUCCAGAUCCAGCAGUGUGGGGUGGGUAAAGAGCACAAAAAGGAGCCCAGGACUUGUGCUGCUGUCUGUACCCCCCCAGCCCUUAUCACAGCCCACAGCAGGGUGGCCAUGGUUGGGGGCUGAUAAAGGAAAGUCUGGGCUCUGCUCCAGCUCUGGGUGUGGUGGGAGACUGGGCAACAGAUAGUCCCAGGAGGCUACAACCUGCCAGGUGCUGAGUAAGGGCUGGAAGGUCUUUAGUGAGGGGGGAAGGUUCAAGGAAGCCCCAGGGUGGCUCACAAAGCCAGCUAAGGUUGCCACAAGGUCCUUUGAUCCUUGGCAUUGGCAAGGAUGGACUCUUCCCUAGUCCCAUGGCCUCCAGGCACUGUCAGUGAAUGCACAGAAACAGGAGAAACUCCAAUGACUCCAAAGAGAGAAGGAGGCCCUUCAGACCCUGGGGUUUCUUCUGCAGUGCACCUCAGGCAUCAUGAUCUCACAUGGCCACUGUACUGGCACCUGUGACCCACUGGGCAUGAUGAGGAAGGGAGGAGAAAGCUGCACAUGGCAUCCCUGGGCAGUCUGGUCUCCCUUUGUGCAGAGCAGGUGUUGGAGCAGGUUCCACCCCUCCAACCAGGAACAUCACCCAGGCAGAGCUGUGGGCACAACUUCCCAGGGAUCUCAUGGAGAACCAGGAUAUGGUGGGGACUCAGGGCACACAGGUGUGCAAGGAGGUGUGAACUGGUGUGGAAAGCGUUGGGAAGAGCCAGCAUCAAAUCCAGCACGGGCUUGGACUCCUGCUAACUCAACCACUAAGGGCCCUCAAGGUCCUGAGCAUGGACGCAGCCUGCCCACGGGACAGACACGCUGGCCACAGCUUGGCGCUCCCUGAGCUGGCAUCCCUGCCCAGCUGCCUUGGGACCCACCAGCACCACAGCAGCCACGCUCUGGAGCGGGGCAGGUCAAAUAUUUGCCCCAGGCUGGUUUUGCAGCUGGCUUUGCUGCAGCUCCAGUGCUGAGGAGGGAGUUGGAGGCAACUUCUGCAUUGCCACAGCAGCAGCAGCAGCCUGAAACAGCCCCAGGUGACGCUGAGGAGGUGGAUUUGGAGACAAAGUCCCCUGAUCCAGGCAGCACUCAGGAAGCCGAGUCACACCAGGCAGCUUCAGCAGAAGAAGGAAGAUGAAUAUCUCCAGGUCAUGCCCGUUUUGAUGUCUCCACUCUCUGCAGGCCUUUCUCAGCUCUCAUUUAUUCUUGAUGGACAAAGCACCCAGGGUUCAAAGAUACCCCAGAACAGCACAGUGUUCUCUCCUGUGAUGUCACCACGGCAAGUGGCAUCUCAGAGCUCAUUUUUAUUGAAAGAGGAGCUAAAAUGACAUCAGGAAAUGAGCUUGAUGGUUAUGACUUACCUGAUCACAGCACUUUCACCCUCCUCUUGAGGGGCUGCAAACAGCAUUGUCCAGGUAGUUUGGAUUCUAAUUAUUAUGUUGGAUAGUCAUGGCCCUAGAGAGGGUGUCCUGGAAAGGGACACAAAAACGUACUUCUGGAGGAGGUCAAGCAUCCUAGGGGAGUUUAACAGGAAUUCUCCAUGAAUUUUCUAUCUUCCCACUGCUUCUCUGCUAAAAUUUGAUCUAGCAAACAGGCAGUGGAAAGAUGGAGAAUUAAUUCCUCACUGGAAGGUGAUCUUAGGAGAGCAGCUGAACGAUCCUUUUGCUGGAAUGAGGAGGGAAAACAUCAUGUGUUUUACAAACUGUUCUUGUUUCUACAUCCCAUAUUGGAAUUCAAUAUGGCAAUAGUGUAACCCGUGAGUGGUGCAGCCAAUAGGUCUUCUGCUUCUUUGCUGUGUGUUUGGACAGCCACUCUUUCCUAAAUGUCAGAUUUUCCCUGCUGAAAUGAUCUCUCUGAUUUGUCUGGAUCCUUUUGGAUUUUAAGCCAGUGUUUGCAUCCUCUCCAGCUCAGGAACAUCUGAGAACUUAAUAAGGACAUUCUCCACUACAACACAAGUUAUUGAUGACAGAACAGUGAAUAAUAAUGGUAAACAAAGAACUGGAAUCUGUCAAAGAAGGAAAACAGACUCAUCUGAAAGGAUUCAUUCCUGGCAAUGGCCAUGAUUAUUACUCAUCUCUUUCUUUGAUUAAAAGUCCCACUGUUUGGCUUUUUUUAAUUGAAGCCGACUGGUUUGUAGUUCCUUGGUUUCCUCCUUUUACCCUCCUAAUGAUAAGAGACACGAUGGUCUCGUUUCUGUGACCCCAUCCCCCUCCCUCUUUUCCCAGAGAUAUUGCAUGUUUGGAGGUGGCUUCCAUCAGUUUUUGAGGUAAAGGGGAUUUUUUUUUUCAGGCAAGCAGUCUGAAAAUAAGGAAUGAUUGAAAUAUACUUUAAUUCAAACUUUUUGGGAUCCUCCCACCUCCUCCACUGGCUGUUUUGGCAGUGGAAAAAGGAAAAGUGGUAGAAGACAGAAAAUGAGCAUUGAUUAGAUUUUCACUACAAAGAUGGAAAUUGAAUAGAAAUGCAAAAAUUUUCUUCCUGCUGGUUGCCCUGUCUUCCCACCACACAGCAACCACCUGGGAGAUUGAUUUUGCUUGGAGAUGAGAUGAUAGGCAAUGCUCUGCUGGUAACAUUAGUAAUUCCUCUCUCCCUGUGUUGUUUUUCUGUAUUUUUCAGCAGCAGGAGAUACCAUCUGGGGAGGGCACAGCUUUGGUUGUGUUCCUCCAGCUCCCACACAAGCAGUAAUAGCAAUUCCAGAGGGUACAUCCCUGCCUGUUGCCUUCAGCAUCUGUCUGUUGACCUGCUGCUGCUCCUCAUGAAUUUGCUCUACCUUUCAUAAACCUGCUGAUCCUAUUUGUUUCCACAACCUCCUGUGGCAGUGAAUUCCAGAAGUUCAUUCUCCCACCUGCUCCAAAUAAAGCCCUUUUUAUCCAUUUG
Molecule: long non-coding RNA, 3385 nt
Organism: Corvus hawaiiensis (hawaiian crow)
Lineage: Eukaryota; Metazoa; Chordata; Aves; Passeriformes; Corvidae
Exons: 2
Source: RefSeq, a predicted model, not a curated record